RNAcentral lists this small RNA (279 nucleotides) under Arabidopsis thaliana (thale cress). Its description in RNAcentral is "ATSL073570". The record is from RNAcentral. Lineage: Eukaryota; Viridiplantae; Streptophyta; Magnoliopsida; Brassicales; Brassicaceae.
AUUUUGAGUCUUUUUUUGACGGUUAAAACAACGAUUUGGGACGAAGUUAUAGGCCCUGAAUGGAUGCUGAUUUUGGAUUCAGUUUUUGAAUUUAGAUUUUAGUUUAUAGAUUUUAGAUUUUAGUUUCAGAUUUUUAUUAUUAUAUUUUUGUUUCAAAAACCCCAAAAAAUUGGUUUUUGGUUUUUGAGAAAAAUAACGUUGAUUGAGUAAAAACUAGAUUUCCUAAAUUUUAGGAGAACUAAAAAACUAAAAUCAUGAAUGGAAAACUACAAGAAAAUA